UGCCAGAUUGGCUGAAACUAUACUUGGGCUA
Molecule: non-coding RNA, 31 nt
Filed under: Macaca fascicularis (crab-eating macaque)
Lineage: Eukaryota; Metazoa; Chordata; Mammalia; Primates; Cercopithecidae
Also listed under: 1 other name
Source: RNAcentral